This 68-nucleotide transfer RNA is filed under the name Marmota monax (woodchuck). Its description in RNAcentral is "tRNA.Ala". The record is from RNAcentral. Lineage: Eukaryota; Metazoa; Chordata; Mammalia; Rodentia; Sciuridae.
GGAUUGUAGCUCAGUGGAAAAGCGCUUGCCUAGCACGUGUGAGGAACUGGGUUCAAUCCUCAGCACCA